RNAcentral lists this ribosomal RNA (110 nucleotides) under uncultured Synechococcus sp. RNAcentral's name for it is "partial 23S ribosomal RNA". The record is from RNAcentral. Lineage: Bacteria; Bacillati; Cyanobacteriota; Cyanophyceae; Synechococcales; Synechococcaceae.
GUCAAGCUACAAAGGGCUCACGGCGGAUACCUUGGCACACAGAGGCGAUGAGACGUGGUUACUGGCGAUUAGUCUCGGGGGAGCUGUAGCACGCAUUGAAUCCGGAAUUC